This 66-nucleotide transfer RNA is filed under the name Homaloptera parclitella. Its description in RNAcentral is "tRNA-Cys". It matches the Rfam family "tRNA". Rfam says of the family: Transfer RNA (tRNA) molecules are approximately 80 nucleotides in length. Their secondary structure includes four short double-helical elements and three loops (D, anti-codon, and T loops). Further hydrogen bonds mediate the characteristic L-shaped molecular structure. tRNAs have two regions of fundamental functional importance: the anti-codon, which is responsible for specific mRNA codon recognition, and the 3' end, to which the tRNAs corresponding amino acid is attached (by aminoacyl-tRNA synthetases). tRNAs cope with the degeneracy of the genetic code in two manners: having more than one tRNA (with a specific anti-codon) for a particular amino acid; and 'wobble' base-pairing, i.e. permitting non-standard base-pairing at the 3rd anti-codon position. RNAcentral also lists the same sequence under 1 other name. The record is from RNAcentral. Lineage: Eukaryota; Metazoa; Chordata; Actinopteri; Cypriniformes; Balitoridae.
AGCUCCGUGGUGAAGAACAUAUUAGAUUGCAAAUCUGAAGACGCAGAUUAACGUCUGCCGGGGCUU